RNAcentral lists this ribosomal RNA (497 nucleotides) under uncultured bacterium. RNAcentral's name for it is "partial 16S ribosomal RNA". It matches the Rfam family "Bacterial small subunit ribosomal RNA", at positions 28 to 507 of the family's 1533-position model. The record is from RNAcentral.
GAUGAACGCUGGCGGCGUGCCUAAUACAUGCAAGUCGAGCGAACAGACGAGGAGCUUGCUCCUCUGACGUUAGCGGCGGACGGGUGAGUAACACGUGGAUAACCUACCUAUAAGACUGGGAUAACUUCGGGAAACCGGAGCUAAUAACGGAUAAUAUAUUGAACCGCAUGGUUCAAUAGUGAAAGACGGGUUUCCUGUUACUUAUAGCUGGAUCCGCGUCGCAUUAGCUAGUUGGUAAGGUAACGGCUUACCAAGGCAACGAUGCGUAGCCGACCUGAGAGGGUGAUCGGCCACACUGGAACUGAGACACGGUCCAGACUCCUACGGGAGGCAGCAGUAGGGAAUCUUCCGCAAUGGGCGAAAGCCUGACGGAGCAACGCCGCGUGAGUGAUGAAGGUCUUCGGAUCGUAAAACUCUGUUAUUAGGGAAGAACAAAUGUGUAAGUAACUAUGCACGUCUUGACGGUACCUAAUCAGAAAGCCACGGCUAACUACGUG